Molecule: ribosomal RNA, 492 nt
Filed under: uncultured bacterium
Lineage: Bacteria
Description: partial 16S ribosomal RNA
Rfam family: Bacterial small subunit ribosomal RNA
Source: RNAcentral
GAUGAACGCUAGCUACAGGCUUAACACAUGCAAGUCGAGGGGAAACGACAUCGAAAGCUUGCUUUUGAUGGGCGUCGACCGGCGCACGGGUGAGUAACGCGUAUCCAACCUGCCCAUCACUUGGGAAUAACCUUGCGAAAGUAAGACUAAUACCCAAUGACAUCCCACGAAGACAUCUGAAUGGGAUUAAAGAUUUAUCGGUGAUGGAUGGGGAUGCGUCUGAUUAGCCUGUUGGCGGGGUAACGGCCCACCAAGGCAACGAUCAGUAGGGGUUCUGAGAGGAAGGUCCCCCACAUUGGAACUGAGACACGGUCCAAACUCCUACGGGGGGCAGCAGUGAGGAAUAUUGGUCAAUGGGCGAGAGCCUGAACCAGCCAAGUAGCGUGCAGGAGGACGGCCCUAUGGGUUGUAAACUGCUUUUAUAAGGGAAUAAAGUGGGUCUCGUGAGACUUUUUGCAUGUACCUUAUGAAUAAGGACCGGCUAAUUCCGUG